CAGGGAGACAAACCUGAUUGUGAUGUCUGAGUACUUUAUUCUUAGACCAUGAUCCUGUCAUAUCUAGGUCUAUCGGUACCUCAAUUUCAACGCUGAGAUCGAAUGAUUGUUCAGGCUUGUCUUGACUUGUCUUGACUUGACUUAAACAGUUACUCGAUGCUGAGUAGUUGAUCUUUAGUUCCUAAACGUUGUCUAGGUCACCCCAUAGCGGGUUCACUCCUGGGCCAUUAGCUCAGGUGGUUAGAGCGCACCCCUGAUAAGGGUGAGGUCCCUGGUUCAAGUCCAGGAUGGCCCAUUCCAAGUCCGAUUGGAUGAUUGGGGGUUUAGCUCAGUUGGUAGAGCGCCUGCUUUGCAAGUAGGAUGUCAGCGGUUCGAGUCCGCUAACCUCCACUGACCCGAACUCACAGGAUCAUCUGGUUGGUCCGCAAGGAUGAACAGGAUGAGCCAAGAGGUGUGACGUAGACGUUGUUGUGCUGACGAACAGAAUGUUCGACUCAGAGGCGCAAGCCAGCUGAGAUCAGCCUCAGAUCAUUCCAUCGAUUUCAUGCUUUUCAUGAGUCUGAUGAUUGGUUGAUCUGAUGCUGGAUUCAGGCUGAUCAAGCGAGAGCGAGAUCAGCUUUGAGAUUCAGCAGAACCUUGACACUGCAUAGGUGAGUCUGGAAAGAUAAAGCAUCUCAUGGAUGGGAUCUGGCACAGAUCUGCAUUCUAUUUUGAGAGCCGAGACCUUUCAGCGUUCUUCUGAUCCCGCCGAGGGAUUGGGAGUUUGAUCUAGGAUUCAACCACAGGAGAAGGAGCCGAUGCACAAGCAGAGGGUCCUGCAACCUGAGAGGUGAACCUUGAGAGAAUAGGUCUCAUAGCCUGAAGCGUUGGAAGGGUUAAUU
RNAcentral lists this transfer RNA (881 nucleotides) under uncultured Synechococcus sp. RNAcentral's name for it is "16S-23S ribosomal RNA intergenic spacer". The stretch from base 318 to 390 matches the Rfam family "tRNA". Lineage: Bacteria; Bacillati; Cyanobacteriota; Cyanophyceae; Synechococcales; Synechococcaceae. The record is from RNAcentral.